UGGCGAACGGGUGAGUAACACGUGAGCAACCUGCCCCCGACUCUGGGAUAACCCCGGGAAACCGGAGCUAAUACCGGAUACGACACGCUCGGGCAUCCGAUGCGUGUGGAAAGAUUUAUCGGUUGGGGAUGGGCUCGCGGCCUAUCAGCUUGUUGGUGGGGUAACGGCCUACCAAGGCUUUGACGGGUAGCUGGUCUGAGAGGACGAUCAGCCGGAUUGGGACUGAGAUACGGCCCAG
RNAcentral lists this ribosomal RNA (238 nucleotides) under uncultured bacterium. RNAcentral describes it as "partial 16S ribosomal RNA". It matches the Rfam family "Bacterial small subunit ribosomal RNA", at positions 96 to 334 of the family's 1533-position model. The record is from RNAcentral.